Seriola aureovittata is the source of this 744-nucleotide long non-coding RNA. RefSeq lists it as uncharacterized. NCBI's taxonomy places the organism in Eukaryota, Metazoa, Chordata, Actinopteri, Carangiformes, Carangidae. The transcript has 2 exons. The record is from RefSeq and is a predicted model, not a curated record.
UUAAGCAAAGAAAGGAAAGAGUCAUGUGGAUGAGACUCUUUCAAAAACAAGAGAUGUAACUACACGUUGUUCCCAUUAGGGGGCGCAUCUACACUGUGCACCUGUACUGUUGAGGUCGGCUACGUCAGCACUUCCUGUCACCUCACUCCCAAAACAGCAGCUGUGUGUGAGCAUGUCAACAAAAGCCGAGCAUUUCCUGGUGGGAAACGCCGCAAAAACAGUCAUAAAAGUCGGAUUAAUGUUCACGUCACCACGCUGAUAAUUGGCUCUUUUAAUAGAGGUCCAACUGUGAGCGACAGGGAGACAACUUCUGCCGAGUUAUUAAUGUUGAGAAACUAUAGAAUCUGAAGAAUGAAAGAUGGCGAGUCCAGCCCGUGACCCUGGGGACGGUUGGAGAAACGGUGUUGGCCAAACGCAGGAACUGCCCACUUUCAUCAGAUCACAGAUAAGACCACACACACUAAUUAUCCUACCCGGGUAGUAAUGGUAGAGACACUAUAAGCCACUUGGAACAGAUACAACAAGAAACAACAUUUGAACUGAACUCUUGAGCUCUUUAAUCAGAAGGAGAACCUGAGGAUUAAAGGAACAAUCAGUGAACUAAAGAACAUCCAUUGGAGGUUUUCCACCUCCACAACGGACUAUUUCUUUUGAUUUUCUUAUUUGGUUUUUUAUUUUUCAUUCUUCUAAAACUAAAGUCUUGUGUGUUGUUGUGAGGCAAUAAACUAUCACUGUUCAACUAUA